Molecule: long non-coding RNA, 364 nt
Filed under: Rattus norvegicus (Norway rat)
Lineage: Eukaryota; Metazoa; Chordata; Mammalia; Rodentia; Muridae
Description: long non-coding RNA NONRATT028962
Source: RNAcentral
UACAGGCAGAAUGUCCGUUGGCAGCACAGAGCUGAGGAAGUGUUGGGCAGAGCCUUUCAAUGGAAGGUGCAACAGAAGCCUGAGCUCUCUCCCUUCCGAUGGCUGACCGGGAAGUCAGGGUCAUAAGAUUCUCACAGCUGCGGCGACCCUGAGGAAAGACUGGAGCAGCGUUUUGUUACUAUCUCAUGUGUUUUGUCAUGUAUCACAUGUAUGCAUGUCCACACAGAGGUCAGAAGAAGGUAUCAGAUCCCCUGGAGUUAAGAGUUACACAUGGUUGUGAGUGCCCUCUGGGUGCUGGGAAUCAAAUCCAGGUCCUCUAUAAGAGCGACAUGUACUCUUAACCACUAAGCCAACUCUUUUUGUU